RNAcentral lists this ribosomal RNA (392 nucleotides) under uncultured bacterium. RNAcentral's name for it is "partial 16S ribosomal RNA". It matches the Rfam family "Bacterial small subunit ribosomal RNA", at positions 523 to 918 of the family's 1533-position model. The record is from RNAcentral.
AUACGUAGGGGGCGAGCGUUGUCCGGAUUUACUGGGCGUAAAGGGUGAGUAGGCGGUUAUAUAAGUCAGAUGUAAAAGGCACAGGCUUAACUUGUGUAAGCAUUUGAAACUGUAUAACUUGAGUGCAGGAGAGGUAAGUGGAAUUCCUAGUGUAGCGGUGAAAUGCGUAGAUAUUAGGAGGAACACCAGUGGCGAAGGCGACUUACUGGACUGUAACUGACGCUGAGUCACGAAAGCGUGGGUAGCAAACAGGAUUAGAUACCCUGGUAGUCCACGCUGUAAACGAUGAGUGCUAGGUGUUGGGUAGCGAUACUCAGUGCCGAAGUAAACACAAUAAGCACUCCGCCUGGGGAGUACGGUCGCAAGACUGAAACUCAAAGGAAUUGACGGGG